UACGUAGGGUGCAAACAUUACCCGGAUUCAUUGGGCGUAAAGAGUUCGUAGGUGGUUUUGUAAGUUGGAUAUUAAAGACCCAGGCUCAACCUGGGGAAAGUAUCCAAAACUGCAUAACUUGAGGCAUGCAGGGGAAGAUGGAACUUACAGUGUAGCAGUGAAAUGCGUAGAUAUUGUAAGGAACGCCAAUGGUGAAGACAGUCUUCUGGGCAUAGCCUGACACUGAGGAACGAAAGCGUGGGGAGCGAACGGG
Molecule: ribosomal RNA, 253 nt
Filed under: uncultured bacterium
Lineage: Bacteria
Description: partial 16S ribosomal RNA
Rfam family: Bacterial small subunit ribosomal RNA
Source: RNAcentral